AUUCCAGCUCCAAUAGCGUAUAUUAAAGUUGUUGCGGUUAAAAAGCUCGUAGUUGGAUUUCUGUCAAAGGUAAGGCGGUCCAUCUUAUGGAUGUGCAUCUGCCUAUGCCUUGGCAUCCUCAUGAAGAACGUUUUCGCGCUUCACUGCGUGUUUACGGUAUUCAUGACUUUUACUUUGAGGAAAUUAGAGUGUUCACGGCAGGCAAUCGCUUUGGAUACAUUAGCAUGGAAUAAUACUAUAGGACCUCGGUUCUAUUUUGUUGGUUUCUAGAGCUGAGGUAAUGAUUAAUAGGGAUAAUCGGGGGUCUUUGUAUUGCAACGUCAGAGGUGAAAUUCUUGGAUUGUUGCACGACAAACUACUGCGAAAGCAUUGACCAAGGAUGUUUUCAUUA
Molecule: ribosomal RNA, 391 nt
Filed under: Syndiniales sp.
Lineage: Eukaryota; Dinophyceae; Syndiniales
Description: partial small subunit ribosomal RNA
Rfam family: Eukaryotic small subunit ribosomal RNA
Source: RNAcentral